GACAGAGGGUGCUAGCGUUGUUCGGAAUGACUGGGCGUAAAGGGCGCGUAGGCUGUUAAUCAAGUUAGAUGUGAAAGCCCCAGGCUUAACCUGGGAACUGCAUUUAAUACUGGUUGACUGGAGAGCGAGAGAGGAAAGGCGGAAUUCCUAGUGUAGAAGUGAAAUCUGUAGAUAUUAGGAGGAACACCAGAGGCGAAGGCGGCUUUCUGGCUCGCAACUGACGCUGAGGCGCGAAAGCGUGGGGAGCAAACAGG
This 254-nucleotide ribosomal RNA is filed under the name uncultured bacterium. RNAcentral describes it as "partial 16S ribosomal RNA". It matches the Rfam family "Bacterial small subunit ribosomal RNA", at positions 524 to 776 of the family's 1533-position model. The record is from RNAcentral.